CACCACCUGUAGCAGACACAUCUUCAUCUUACUCUCAAUUUUCCCAGCUGCUGAAGGAAAACCUCAGAAUCGACGCCCCCCAAGAUGGUGACUACUUCAAGCCGUAUUUGGAUUGACACUGGUAAUUGUCAGUGAUUGCUACUAUGGCCCCUUCCCUGCUGGCAGCCAGUAGAUGUAUUUAUGGUGAGAAUUUAAGGCCAAGAACAGAGGCUCCACUCAGUGCUGAGAGGCCCCGGGCUCGGCGCUCGGCGUCUGGCAAGGAUCCUGGUGAGAGCUCCCGGCCCCUGGCGGUGCAGACAGCCCUGACAUUUGAACUCUUGCGGGGCCUAAGGGUAGAAGUCAGGACCAGGGGAAGAACUGUGGAAGUAAACUGCAGCUAGAGAAAACAGCAUGUGCAAAUGCCCUGAGGCUGGAGGUGUGUGCACUGGAGAGAAGACCAGUGCCACCGGAGUGGAAGAGAGUGGCGUGAG
This is a long non-coding RNA of Mirounga angustirostris (Northern elephant seal), 470 nucleotides long. RefSeq lists it as uncharacterized. Lineage: Eukaryota; Metazoa; Chordata; Mammalia; Carnivora; Phocidae. The transcript has 3 exons. The record is from RefSeq and is a predicted model, not a curated record.